UUUUCCCCCAACAAAAAAAAAAAGAUCAUUGAGAAGACAAGAUCCCAAUACCAGUUUUCAGGUCUAAUAAAGUGCUAAAGUAGGCUUUUCUUAAUAUAAAAAUAACCUGUAAUCAAUCAUGGGCCACCCUUUUGUUAUUCCACGAACUAUGAACAGGUUACAUUAUGUUUGCUAGCUUUCACAUUUAUAUCAAAAAUAUCCACUGCAAGAUGACGACCACUGUUGCUACCACGCC
RNAcentral lists this long non-coding RNA (235 nucleotides) under Elaeis guineensis (African oil palm). Its description in RNAcentral is "long non-coding RNA (EGUI_LNC010852)". Lineage: Eukaryota; Viridiplantae; Streptophyta; Magnoliopsida; Arecales; Arecaceae. The record is from RNAcentral.